Molecule: unclassified non-coding RNA, 378 nt
Filed under: uncultured Actinomycetes bacterium
Lineage: Bacteria; Bacillati; Actinomycetota; Actinomycetes
Description: uncultured actinobacterium contains 16S-23S intergenic spacer region
Source: RNAcentral
UCCGAGUUGACCCCGGCAGUCUCCGUAGAGUCCCCGACAUUACUCGCUGGCAACUACGGACAGGGGUUGCGCUCGUAGCGCCACUUAAGGCAACACCUCACGGCACGAGCUGACGGCAGCCAUGCAGCACCUGUGCGGGCUCCCGAAGGAGGACCGUGUUUCCACGGCUUCACCCCGCAUGUCAAGCCCUGGUAAGGUUCUUCGCGUCGCGUCGAAUUAAGCCACAUGCUCCGCCGCUUGUGCGGGCCCCCGUCAAUUCCUUUGAGUUUUAGCCUUGCGGCCGUACUCCCCAGGCGGGGCACUUAAUGCGUUAGCUACGGCGCGGAAAACGUGGAAUGUCCCCCACACCUAGUGCCCAACGUUUACGGCGUGGACUAC